AGCAGUAGCCGCGGGAAUACGAAGGGGGCUAGCGUUGCUCGGAAUGACUGGGCGUAAAGGGCGCGUAGGCGGAUUGUUUAGUUAGGCGUGAAAUUCCUGGGCUUAACCUGGGGACUGCGCUUAAUACAGGCAGUCUAGAGUGAGGAAGAGGGUUGUGGAAUUCCCAGUGUAGAGGUGAAAUUCGUAGAUAUUGGGAAGAACACCGGUGGCGAAGGCGGCAACCUGGUCCUUGACUGACGCUGAGGCGCGAAAGCGUGGGGAGCAAACAGGAUUAGAGACCCCGGUAGUCCCUGUCUCUUAUAA
Molecule: ribosomal RNA, 303 nt
Filed under: uncultured bacterium
Lineage: Bacteria
Description: partial 16S ribosomal RNA
Rfam family: Bacterial small subunit ribosomal RNA
Source: RNAcentral